This 235-nucleotide unclassified non-coding RNA is filed under the name plant metagenome. RNAcentral describes it as "partial contains small subunit ribosomal RNA, internal transcribed spacer 1, and 5.8S ribosomal RNA". The record is from RNAcentral.
UUUCCGUAGGUGAACCUGCGGAAGGAUCAUUACUGAGUGAGGGCCCCUCGGGGUCCAACCUCCCACCCGUGUUUAACGAGCCUUGUUGCUUCGGCGAGCCCGCCUCACGGCCGCCGGGGGGCAUCUGCCCCCGGGCCCGCGCCCGCCGAAGCCACCUGUGAACUCGUCUGAAGUAUGUAGUCUGAGACAAUUAUUAAAUUAAUUAAAACUUUCAACAACGGAUCUCUUGGUUCCG